CCUACGGGAGGCAGCAGUGAGGAAUAUUGGUCAAUGGGAGAGAUCCUGAACCAGCCAAGCCGCGUGAGGGAAGACGGCCCUAUGGGUUGUAAACCUCUUUUGUCGGAGAACAAAACCCGGGACGUGUCCCGGACUGCGUGUAUCCGAAGAAAAAGCAUCGGCUAACUCCGUGCCAGCAGCCGCGGUAAUACGGAGGAUGCGAGCGUUAUCCGGAUUUAUUGGGUUUAAAGGGUGCGUAGGCGGUCCGUUAAGUCAGCGGUAAAAUUGCGGGGCUCAACCCCGUCGAGCCGUUGAAACUGGCAGACUGGAGUGGGCGAGAAGUACGCGGAAUGCGCGGUGUAGCGGUGAAAUGCAUAGAUAUCGCGCAGAACUCCGAUUGCGAAGGCAGCGUACCGGCGCCAGACUGACGCUGAGGCACGAAAGCGUGGGGAUCGAACAGGAUUAGAUACCCCAGUAGUC
Molecule: ribosomal RNA, 459 nt
Filed under: uncultured bacterium
Lineage: Bacteria
Description: partial 16S ribosomal RNA
Rfam family: Bacterial small subunit ribosomal RNA
Source: RNAcentral